UCGGGAAUUCGGUGCGGUCCGGCGCAUGUCCGCGAUCAAGGCCGAAGCUGCCCUCGCAACUGUAAAUGCGCCGUUUUUGGCGGCGCAUAAGCCAGAUACCG
Molecule: non-coding RNA, 101 nt
Organism: Thalassospira xiamenensis M-5 = DSM 17429
Lineage: Bacteria; Pseudomonadati; Pseudomonadota; Alphaproteobacteria; Rhodospirillales; Thalassospiraceae
Source: Rfam